Long non-coding RNA from Stylophora pistillata, 546 nucleotides. NCBI's taxonomy places the organism in Eukaryota, Metazoa, Cnidaria, Anthozoa, Scleractinia, Pocilloporidae. The record is from RefSeq and is a predicted model, not a curated record.
AUUAUGACAAGAGAAAUAGAAUUAGGGAAACGAUGAUGAAUGAAGUGCGAAGAUUCUAGACGGUAGAGGCUUCAUAUCUUGAGUCACAAAGCUAUAGGAAUGGUAACCCCUCAGUCAUUGAGUCACGGUGGCCUUUGGAAUCCAUCCUCGCUUUCCAGGUUCUAUUUCUUACUGUCGGCUCAAGCUUGGAAAGGGUACAGAGGGAAAUGAAAGCAUGAAGUGAAGAUAGAAAUUAAGGUCAGGAACAACAACAUCAGGAUCUACCAUUAUAUCCAGGUCAUAAAGGAAGGUGAGUCAGGAAGGAGAUUAUAGGAAUGGAUUAACAGGGAAACAAAAGGCUGUAGGUAAAAGCACCAUGAAGAGAGGAUUUUGACUGGAGAUUUAAUGUCUGGAACGGAGCCUUCAAGAUCAUGAACGGUUUAUUUCCUUUGUCUUUGGCAUGGUUCGUUUCGCAUUCCAUCAUGAGAGAUUCUUUGUCUUCUUUGCGCUAGUCUUAAUGGUAAAUCCUGGUGAUCUUGGUUGUUCAUCCUGGUCAUUCAGUCACUG